AACGAACGCUGGCGGCAUGCCUAACACAUGCGAGUCGAACGAGACCUUCGGGUCUAGUGGCGCACGGGUGCGUAACGCGUGGGAACCUGCCCUUAGGUUCGGAAUAACUCCCCGAAAGGGGUGCUAAUACCGGAUAAUGUCUUCGGACCAAAGAUUUAUCGCCUUUGGAUGGGCCCGCGUUGGAUUAGCUAGUUGGUAGGGUAAAAGCCUACCAAGGCGACGAUCCAUAGCUGGUCUGAGAGGAUGAUCAGCCACACUGGGACUGAGACACGGCCCAGACUCCUACGGGAGGCAGCAGUGGGGAAUAUUGGACAAUGGGCGAAAGCCUGAUCCAGCAAUGCCGCGUGAGUGAUGAAGGCCUUAGGGUUGUAAAGCUCUUUUACCCGGGAUGAUAAUGACAGUACCGGGAGAAUAGGCGCCGGCUAACUCCGUG
Molecule: ribosomal RNA, 433 nt
Filed under: uncultured bacterium
Lineage: Bacteria
Description: partial 16S ribosomal RNA
Rfam family: Bacterial small subunit ribosomal RNA
Source: RNAcentral